This 319-nucleotide ribosomal RNA is filed under the name uncultured Lactobacillus sp. RNAcentral describes it as "bacterial SSU rRNA". It matches the Rfam family "Bacterial small subunit ribosomal RNA", at positions 216 to 524 of the family's 1533-position model. Lineage: Bacteria; Bacillati; Bacillota; Bacilli; Lactobacillales; Lactobacillaceae. The record is from RNAcentral.
CACUCUGGGAUGGGACCCUGCGGUGCAUUAGCUAGUUUGGUAGGUAACGGCCUACCCAAGGCGAUGAUGCAUAGCCGAGUUGAGAGACUGAUCGGCCACAUUGGGACUGAGACACGGCCCAAACUCCUACGGGAGGCAGCAGUAGGGAAUCUUCCACAAUGGACGCAAGUCUGAUGGAGCAACGCCGCGUGAGUGAAGAAGGGUUUCGGCUCGUAAAGCUCUGUUGUUGGUGAAGAAGGACAGGGGUAGUAACUGACCUUUGUUUGACGGUAAUCAAUUAGAAAGUCACGGCUAACUACGUGCCAGCAGCCGCGGUAAU